RNAcentral lists this transfer RNA (85 nucleotides) under Felis catus (domestic cat). It matches the Rfam family "tRNA". Rfam says of the family: Transfer RNA (tRNA) molecules are approximately 80 nucleotides in length. Their secondary structure includes four short double-helical elements and three loops (D, anti-codon, and T loops). Lineage: Eukaryota; Metazoa; Chordata; Mammalia; Carnivora; Felidae. The record is from Rfam by way of RNAcentral.
GCCUGGGUGGCUCAGUUGGUUAAGUGUCUGACUUCGGCUCAGGUCACAAUCUCACAGUUUGUGAGUUCAAGCCCCACAUCAGGCU